Molecule: unclassified non-coding RNA, 351 nt
Filed under: soil metagenome
Description: partial contains 5.8S ribosomal RNA, internal transcribed spacer 2, and large subunit ribosomal RNA
Rfam family: 5.8S ribosomal RNA (bases 1-120)
Source: RNAcentral
GAUGAAGAACGCAGCGAAAUGCGAAAAGUAAUGUGAAUUGCAGAAUUCAGUGAAUCAUCGAAUCUUUGAACGCACAUUGCGCCCGCCAGUAUUCUGGCGGGCAUGCCUGUCUGAGCGUCAUUUCAACCCUCACGCCCCUAGGGCGUGGUGUUGGGGAUCGGCCAAGGCCCGCAAGGGACGGCCGGCCCCUAAAUCUAGUGGCGGACCCAUCGUGGCCUCCCCUGCGAAGUAGUAAUAUAUUCCGCAUCGGANNNNGAUGAGCCCCUGCCGUUAAACCCCCAACUCUUUCAAGGUUGACCUCAGAUCAGGUAGGAAUACCCGCUGAACUUAAGCAUAUCAAUAAGCGGAGGA